Long non-coding RNA from Brassica rapa (field mustard), 11242 nucleotides. RefSeq lists it as uncharacterized. Lineage: Eukaryota; Viridiplantae; Streptophyta; Magnoliopsida; Brassicales; Brassicaceae. The record is from RefSeq and is a predicted model, not a curated record.
UCAUAUAUACUUUAGCCACAUUUGGUAAUUCCGUAAUCUUAUUUAAGGAAAUAAUGAAGCACAAUAAUAAUGUAUUUAUUGUGGUCUAAUAAAAAGUUUAUUAUAUAUUUAGAUGGACCAACCUAUUUCUCUAAGGAUUCUAAAAAUCAUUUUAGUUAUGACACGUGGCUACAAAAAAAAUGUUGUAAUGCUUCUCAAAUAAUAUAUAGGGGAUUCCCCCUUUAGAAUUCUAAAAAAUACCUAAUAUGUAAUGUCACAUAUAAAUAAGAUGCAUUAUGCAUACAUGGCUAAUGUACGAGCAUGACUCAGACUUUUAAACUAUACAACCACUGAGCACUUUGUUUGCUGAUCAGUCACUGUUAUACUUGUCAUUGUUAAAUACACAAACAGCAAAUAAAUCAUUUUACGAAUAUUAUAUCAUUAUAGAAUAAUAGUCUAAUUCCUCCUUUCAUUACAUUCUCUCAUUGUUGUAAUUUACCAAAAUAAUACAUUACUAAAUGAAAGGAUAUGUAAUGCUCUAUUAGUGAACUUGUAUAAGCAUUUGAGAUGCAAGAAAAACAUUGGUCAACUACGAUCUCCUGAGUUCAUAGAACAUCAUAACAUAAAAUUAAAAACUUGUGUUCGUUCUUGCAGAAAAAGGCAAAUCCAAAAUAUAAUUUAAACUAGAGAACCUUAUAAUAAACUUAAAUAUUUAAUAAAUAUAUAAAAAUGAUAUCUUGUAACACAAAAUAUUAUAGAUAAGCUUCAACAUUGGCUUAAUAGUUUACUUUAAUUAUAUAAUUCAUGGUACAAAUUACCAAUCUUUUUUUGGAAUCUCAUAUCACCAAUCCCAUAACUAAAUAUAUAAAGUCAACCAGGGGCGGAUCUAGAAAAAAAAUUAAUGUGUGGCACAAUAAAUAUAGAUAAUUAAAAUAUAUAAUAAUUUAAUGAAUUAGACUUUAUUUUUAUUUUUUUAAACAAAUUUACGAUAGUCACUAAAUUUUUACCUCUUAUUUUAAAUUAACCAUACAAAGAAAUAAUAAUUUCAUAAUUUUUUGAUAAUUAAAUCUUCCAUUUAAGUAAUGUUAUAAAUCAUAUACUGCAUAUAAUAGUUAAAACCUUUAUUCCAUUUAGUAUUUUGAUAUAAUAUUGAAAAGUUAAAAAUAAUAGAAAUAAUUGUUAGAGUGUAAUUAGAAUAAAUUGAAAUUUUAAUAUUAAAAAGAAGAAAAAGCUAAUGAAGAAAAAAAGGAAUAGUUUUAUGUAGCAAAAAGAAAAGAAAAAAAAGGAAAAUAUUGUAUGAAAUGGUUAUAUAGCUGUAUAGAAAAUUUAAGGAACAAAGAAAUAGUUCUAGGUAACAAAAAAAAGGGAAAGGAAAAGAUAUUUAAUUUUAAAAAGGUAAUUAAGUGUGUAGAAACAGAGAGUAGAGAUGGAUGGAUGAGAAUCGAACUUGGAAAUGGGUGGGGCAUAUGGAGCCACUUAAGCCACAAGAGCUAGACAACUUUUAUGUUCAGGCAGAUCACAAAAAUUUAUAUAAUCAGUAUGGGGCACGUACCACACCCCUUCCCAAGGUGGGUCCGCCCUUGAAGUCAACAACAUUAAUUAAAAUAUGAAUACAUUAAAUCAAGUUUAUUCACAUGGUUCAGGUUUACCAUCAUCACAAUAUCCACGUCCCGCAGGAUCAGAAGAUGAACCACCACCGUCUUUUUCCAACCAGUGUGAAUCCUUACUGAAUAAGCUAGAAGACGAAUGUACAAAAGCUUGGUGCCACUACUUUAACUCCUCGAUGCUCAAGCCUUCCACAAGAAUAUUCCACCACUUUUUGUCUAACUUAUUUUCAAUUACAAAUUCCUUCAGUUUCUUUUCCUUCUCUUUCUCCAUCUCUACCUCCUGAACGAGAUCAUAAUUCUUUUCCAUGAGGUUCUAGAUCCUGAGUGUUUUAUUUUUGGUAGGUGAAAUGAAACCAUCAGAGUCCCCAAUACAUAUAUAUAUAUAGGUAAAAAGAGAUAUAUAGAAGGAUGGUACAUUGUUUUUAGACAUUUAAUUUUCAUGAAAAUAAUAUUUUGACUAAUUUACAUAUUUGACUGGUAAACUGGCGGUUACUUUAAUAUAUAUAGAAACUCUUUAGUCAUUGUUGUAAAGUUAUAGUCAAUAAAUUACUAUGGAAAAUUGGUAAUUCAAUUGGUGAAAAUUGUAAGAGCAUAUUUACAAUUUUAAUACAAUGAGAAUUUGUCAAACUCAAAAAAUAUAUUGUUAUUUCUAUAUAACUUAAAUAUCAACUGAUUUAUGAUUUAAAAUUAAAAAAUAAAUCUGUGAUAGAAUUAUUUCGUAGGAUUUUAAUGAAUUAAAGAUUAUCAUUUAUAAAUUUUAUCGCAUUUAUUUUUAUUUUCGUUUAUACUUUUGAACUUUUGAGUGGUGCCAAUCAAAUCAACACACAUACACAGAAUUUUAAAAAUAAUGAAUAUGUCAUUCCAGAUUAAACAUAAAAUCACAUACAGUGAGACGAUAAAAUUUAAAUACUCAGUAAAAAGCAAGAAAAUUGUGGGAUAAAUAAAGAAAAAAAUCUGAGGGAAUCAAAAGAGGUUCAUGCAUUCUUAAAUUAAGGAACAAGGUUUUAUGACAUAGUUGUACUGGUUUGUUGAAGACUGAGAAGUGAAUAGGAAGAGUUGACAAUAGUACAUCUUUGAUGAGUAAAAACAGUAUGAAGACGAUGAGUCGACGGGUUAGUGAUAGGGUCAUUGAUAUUGUGGUCCAGGAGAUGAGCUAGUGAGAAAUACCAACCAAAACAAAUAGAAAACGUCUAUGACGAAAAAAAUAUUUAUGGGUUUAAAUCUUUUUGGUGUUUCAAAGAUGAGAAGAGUUUGCGAAGUGUUAUAAUGUGGAGGUUUUUUGAGUAUCUACUGGCUGAAAUUUUUUCGUUGAUAUUAAAAAUCUCAUAGACCCGAAAACUAAUCCUUUUUUAUCUUAGUGAUUUAUUUUAGUUGGUUUCGUAUAUAUGGAAUCUUUAAUUUCAUCUUUCUUAUCUUUUUUUUAUUUGGUAACUAGCCACCAACCUUUCCUAGAAAGUUUUGAACAUCACAACCUUUUUAAUCUACUUUUUAGGUUAAUUAUAGCGUAUAAUUAUUUCUGUAUCUCAAAAGGAAUAUAUCUAGAUGCAAAAGAGCUUAAAAGAUUAUUUCCUCAUAUAUAAUGCCACAUAUAAAUAAGAUGCAUGUAUGCAUACAUGAUUAAUGUACGAGCAUAACUCAAACUUUUAAACCACACAACCAAAAGACACUUCUUUUGCUGAUCAGUCACUGUUAGAUUGGUCGUUGUUCAAUACAGAAACAACAAAUAAAUCAUUUUACGAACAUUCUAUCAUUAGAGAAUAACAGUCUAAAUCUCUUUUCCUUUGCAUUCUCUUAUUGUUGUAAUUUACCAAAAUAAUACAUUACUAAAUCAAAGGAGAUGUAAUGCUCUAGUAGUGAACUUGCAUAAGCAUUUGGCAUGCAGGAAAAACAUUGGUCAACUACAAUCUCCUGAGUUUCAUGGAACAUCAUAACAUAAAAUUAAAAACUUGUGUUCGUACUUGCAGAAAAAGGCAAAUCAAAAAUUUAAUUUAAUCUAGAGAACCCUAUAAAAAAUUUAAAUUAUUUAAUAAACAUAUAAAAGUUAUAUCUUGUAACACAAAAUAUUAUGGAUAAGUUUCAACAUUGGCUUAAUAGGUUACUUUAAUUAUAUAAUUCAUGAUACAAAUUACCAAUCUUUUUUUGGAAUCUCAUAUCACCAAUCCCAUAACUAAAUAUAUAAAGACAACAACAUUAAUUAAAAUAUGAAAACAUUAAAUCAAGUUUAUUCACAUGGUUCAGUUUUGCCAUCAUCACAAUAUCCACGUUUCAAAGGAUCAGAAGAUGAACCACCACCGUUUUUUCCCAACCAGUGUGAGUCCUUACCGAAUAAGCUAGAAGACAAAUUUACAAAAGCUUGGUGCCUCUGCUUUAACUCCACGAUACUCAAGCCUUCCACAGGAAUAUUCCACCACUUUUUGUCUAACUUAUUUUCAAUUACAAAUUCCUUCAGUUUGUUUUCCUUCUCUUUCUCCAUCUCUAGCUCCUUAGCGAGAUCAUAAUUCUUUUCCAUGAGGUUCUAGAUCCUGAUUGUUUUAUUUUUGGUAGGUGAAAUGAAACCAUCAGGGUCUCCAAUACAUAUAUAUAUGUAAAAGGACAUAUAUGGAAGGAUGGUACAUUGUUUAUAGACAUUUAAUGUUCAUGAAAAGAGUGUUUUGACUAAUUUACAUAUUUGACUGGUAAAUUAGCUGUCACUUUAAUAUAUAUAAAAUCGUUUUGGUCAUUAUUGUAAAGUUAUGGUCAACAAAUUACCAUGGCAAAUUGGUAACUCUAUUGGUGAAAAUUGUAAGAGCAUAUCUAUAAUUUUAAUACAAUGAUAUUUUCUAAAACUCAAAAUAUAUUGUUAUUUUUAUAUAAUUGAAAUAUCAACUAAUUUAAUGAUUUAAAAUUAAUAAAUCUAUGAGGGAAUUAUUUCAUAGGAUUUCAAUGAAUUAAAAGAUUAUCAUUUAUAAAUUUCAUCGCAUUUUUUAUUUUCGUUUAUAUUUUUGAACUUUUGUGUAGUGCCAAUCACAUCAACACAAAGACACAUGAUUUUAAAUUCCUGAAUAUGUAAUUCCAUAACUUAAAAUCACGUACAAUGAGACGUUAAACUUUAAAUACUCACUGAGAAGCAAGAAAACUGUGGGAUAAAUAAAGAAAAAAAUCUGAGAGAAUCGAAAGAGGUUCAUGCAGAGUAGUAAGGGUUUUAUGACAGAGUAGUAAGGGUUUUUUGAAGACAGAGAAGUGAAUAGGAAGAUAUGACAAUAGUACAUCUUUGAUGAGUAACAACAAGAUGAAGACGAUGAGUCGACGGGUUAGUGAUUUGGUCAUUAAUAUUGUGGUCCAUGAGAUGAGCUAGUGAGAGAUACUAACCAAAACAAAUAGAAAAUGUGUAUGACGAAAAACUAUUUAUUCUUUUAAAUCUUUUUUUGGUGUUUUCAAAGAUGAGAAGAGUUUGCGAGGUGUUCAAAUAUGGAGGGUUUUAAGUAUCUACUAGCUGAAAAUGUUCCACUGAUAUUGAGAAUCUCAGAGACCAGAAAACCAAUCAUUUUUUUUAGCUUAGGGAUUUAAUUUAGUUGAUUUCGUAUAUAUGGAAUCUUAAAUUUCCUCUUCCUUAUAUUUUUGUUUUUCUUCAUUUGGUAAUUAAUCACCAACCUUUCCUAGAAAAUUUUGAACAGCACAACCUUUUUAAUCUGCUUUUUAGGUUAAUCAUAGAGUAUAGUUAUUAUAUUCCAAAAGAAAUAUAUCUAGAUGCAAAAGAGCUUAAAAGAAUAUUUUCAAAAUUUACUCUUGCACAGUUGCACCGAAGCUUUCUCUAUAAUGCUUAUACAUCUAUAUAUAUAAAGUAAACUUUGUUCUAUUCUUAUGACAUGUAGAAGAAGGGUCUGUUGACAUGUGUCCACAUGUUUUUUCUUUUUGUAUUUUAAAUCAUUUUUCUUUUAGAUUAUUACGAUUUGUCCCAUUACUUUUUAAUUGUGCACUAUCUAAUCCUUCUCACAUUAAGUAUCAUUAUAGUUUGAGAAUCUAUUUUAUUGGUCACUAAAAUUAUAAAAAUAAGUAAAAUAGUAUAAACAUAUUUUAAAUAUUUAAUUUAUUCACAGCUAAAAAUAGCAUAAACUUUCAUAUUAUUAUUUUUACUAUUUCCUAUUAGUUCUUUUACAAAUUAUAUAUUUAUUUUACUAUUAAAGUUAUAAAAGUACACUUUGUUCUAUUCUUAUGACAUGUGGAAGAUGGGUUUGCUGACAUGUGUCAACAUGUUUUUUCUUUUUGUAUUUUAAAUAUUUUUUCUUUUAAAUUAUUACAAUUUGUCACAUCACUUUUUAAUUCUGCACUAUCUAAUUCUUCUCACAUUAAGUAUCAUUAGAGCUUGAGAAUCUAUUUUAUUGAUCACUAAAAUUUUAAAAUAAGAAAAAUGAUAUAAAUAUAUUUUAAAUAUUUAAUUUACUCACAACUAAAAAUAGCAUAAACUUUCAUCAUUUUAUUAUUUUUACUAUUUUCUAUUAUUUUUUUUACAAAUUAUAUAUUUAUUUUACUAUUAAAGUUAAAAAAAAUAACCAAACUAAAAAUAAGAAAUUAGAGCACAACACAAAAUUUAAACCUAAAACCUCCAUUAUCACUGGAAAAACAAAAUGGCAUAGUAACACUAAUUCAAUAGAGGCCUAGAACAGAAAGAAGAUCAAGAACGAUGACUAACUUACCUCAUUGUACCAUAAAGUGUCUUGGCUAGAACAAGUAAAAAAAAAUAAAGAAAGAUAAAAUCUGAAACAAAGCAAUUCCCCAAAAAAAAUAAGUGCGAACAAGCACCAACGCAAAGAACCAAGAAAGCGGACCAGAAGGAGAAGAAUAAUCGGAAGGCCAAAGUCACCACGAUGGAGGAAGAUACUUGCCUAAAGUACUGGAUGCACAACCACUAGCAAAAAGGUAAGAAACACCUCACAAACUAAACAAGAAUAGACAAGGCGCCCAUUCAAGUGAAGAAACACAAAGCUCUCGAUAGAAGAGAAAAAAGCUCCAAAAGACUAACUCUGCACACCUAUACCAAAGGAAACAUGAGAAGAAGAGAAACAAUGUGAGAAAAGAAUAAUAGAAACCAACCACCGUGAAAUCAUAAAAUAAGCUUGAGACCAGAAAUAACCUUCAAAGCCCACAUAGCAUACACGAACAAAAACAUUAUCCAAACCUGGAGUGGUAAGCAUGGUGAAACGGAGAGCUACAACAGAUGCGAACAGCAAUGAAAGCUGCAACGAAAUGAAAAAACAUAGAGUGAAAGGGAGACAACAAAAUCAACAAAAUGUGGAGCUGUCCUAGAGCUAUGAUAGAGAGCAUAGAAGUCAGAUCUCCAAAAACUAGAUCUUGAAAACCAAGACGAGCAAGGACUAUUGACAGUAAGCCAACGACGAGAAAGCCAACAUCAAAGACGACUAAAAUCUGACCCAACCCAAGGAGAUGCAGUUCCUAACAUUAGCCAAUAUCUAAGGAAGAAGAGGAGCAACCAAUAUUGACUCGAAAAGCCUACAACGUUGUGAGAAACAACCACACAACUGGGAACUCAUAAAGUCGUUUUAAAAAAAAUUCCGUAUGAUCUCACCGACAAAGAAGGCGAGGAAGAACAAGAGCAUGAGGUGAGUCUUUUUCCGGUGAUGGUGAGAAGCACCACACACUAGAAAGAUAAACGAAAAACAGAGAUGGUAAUGGCUCAAGGUCAAAAUAUGGAGAGAGUAAAAAAACAUCUUAAAAGUUAUAAUGUUCAAAAAUAUGAAAAUAAAAUAAAAUACAAUUUUGACGUUGAAACCAUUAAUCUUAAAAUCGACAAAUGCCUAAAUGCAAAGUUAUUGAAAUUCAAUAUGCUUUUACAUUAUAUGCUCAAUUCACUACUAACAAGUACUAUACACACAACAACACAUUACUAGGAAAAAAACACACAAUAUAUUAACCUAUCAGCUACUACUACAUAACACAUUAAAAACACUAAAUAAUUCUCUUAACAAAUAAAAACGACCAAAAAUUACAUUAUCCAAAAAGUCGCUCUUAAUAACAAUAAAAUAAAAUAAUGGUGGACUAUCUAAUCCUUUUUCGCACUAACUAUUAUUAUGUAAAUGUGCACAAAGAUUUCUGGAUCGAUUCCCGGCAUAUCUACGAGGGACCAGGCAAAGCGGUCGGAGUUAGACCGGAGAAAUCAAUCAGUCUUCGCCUUAAUCCUGCAGAAAUUUUGGAGCAUGUCUUAAGGUUUUUGGUGGGAUCUCCUUCGAUCAGCGGUCGUCCAUCUCUUCAACCUCCAUCUCCUCUGUAUGCAAGUUUCCUUUAUGCCCCAGGGGCUAGGAAAUCUAACUAUCUAAAAGAGUGUUGAAGGGACGGUCCCAAUAUCGUGAAUCCAAGGGCGUCCAUGUAUCAUGUUGUAAGAUGACUUCCAGUCGACUACCAGAAAUUUGGUGGUGUUGAUUCCUUCAGCGUAAACGGGAAGAGAGACCUCUCCAGUAGUAUGUUUAACCUCUCCGCUUGAUACUACGAUUGGGGUGAUAUUUUGUGUCAAAGAAUCUUCCUCCGACCCCAAAUCAUUGGAGACGGUUAGGAAGACGAUGUUGGUGGAACUCCCGAUGUCUACCAAUAUUCUUUUUACCAGAAAGUUGGCUACAGUGAGCGAUAUAAACAGAGGGUGGUGGUGAGGGGAUAUGACUUUCUCCUGCUUUUUGGCCGUGAAAAUGAUUUCAUCUGUUUCCAGGAGAAAGCGGUUGAAUCUUCUGAAUUCUAGACCAUUUAUGGCAUUUCUAGUGCUCUUCUUGGCGGCCACUUGAAUUAUGACAUUUACUUCUGACACACCAUAGAUGACGUUGAUUACCCUAUCAUGUCGAGGUGGUCAGGCAGGAGCAGUUCCCGCAGGCUUGUUAGUUGUCUCCUUGUUGCGGAGAUUUUUAGCUCUUACAGAGAAGAAUUACAAGAAGUGUCCUUUCUUUAGCAGUUCGUUAACCACCAUCUUUAGUGCGAUGCAAUCUUCUGUUUUGUGAUUGUGGUCACUGUGGAAGUCGCACCACCAGUUCGGAUUCUGGAAAGAAUUUGGUGCUUUCAUCUUAUCAGGCCAUUUGACCUGAGGACUCAUUUGCCUUAGAAUAUUGACCAAUUACGGCUUUGAGAUGGAAAGGUGAGAGAUAUAUGGCCACAUGGACAAUGUUAUCCCUUCGGUUAUCUUCAGGGGUCGGUUUUGAUACCUACACCAGUUCUUGCUUCUUGCCUAUUUGCCAGGCUUUUAAUAGGAUUUCUCAUCUCGGUUCUUCUUGUCGUUUCUGGUUCUUCUUCAGAGGGAACUUGGAUCGAGUCGCGACAUCGUCUUCCCAUUUUACAUGGGCCCAUGCACAGGAUAAUAUGUCUUCCAUAGUUUUGCACUGAUAUUUGUUGAGUUCCUUAUAUAGGUCUCCAUCACGUAAUAGCCUCUUUUGAAGGUUGAGAUUGCGGUGGAGGCAUUUCAUCUUGGGAUGGCUACCUUUUAUUGGUUAAAACAUGCUAUAAAGCUGCGCAGGGGCUCGGCUCGAUGAUGAAGGAUCUCAUAGAGGUUGUCAGUCGUCUUCUCGGGACUUAUGCUCCUUGUGAAUUGCUCUACAAACUUGUUUGGCACGGUUUUGAAGGAGUGUAUCUACCCGUUGGACCAUUGUAAGGCAGAUCCUAUCAAGGUUGAUAUGAGGUCCUUGCACAUAAUGGCUUCCCUUAGCUCUUUUUGGAUUGCUAAAGUGAUAAUUUGUUGCUUGUACUGGGCCACAUGGUUAUCUAGGUCCUUGGUGCCAUCGUACAUCCUCAUGUUGGGAAAGGAGAACUUCUUGGCAUCUCUACUAGCGCUAUCUUAUCCGCGAAGGGAGUGUCAGCGUAAGAUUUGGGGUCGCUUCUUCAGAAUAGGAGGAGCAACUGCCGGGAAUCUUUUUACCAUGGAGUAGAUGGCGUCAAACUUUUUGGAGAACACCCGCUCGAGGUAGGGGGUCACGGGCGACUUCUUUGCCAUUACUCCUUCUGGUAUCUCUUCAUUCCAUCUCGAAAUCGUCGUCUUCUAUGAAGUUGACUCGAUUUCGCCUUGCAACAUCAGUUCCCAUAACGGUAUCUCCAUUCAGUGGUGGAGGCAGUCCGGUAUUUGGGUUCACUCGUCAGAAAGACUAUCAGUUACUUAAUGAAACGAUAAAAAAGCGUAUCAAUUUAUGGACCAAUCACUUUCUAUCAAUAGUUGGUAGAAUGCAGUUGAUAAAAUCGAUUCUCCUGAGCAUAAUAAAUUUUUGGAUGACUUGCUUCAAACUGUCGGACCAAUGUAUUAAACAAAUUUACAGUCUUAGUUAUGCAUUCCUCUGGUAUAGUCCUUCCUUGAAUGCGAAGAAAGCAAAAGUAGCAUGGGAUGUGCUCUGUCUCCCAAUGUAGGAAGGAGGGUUGGGUCUCAGAUUUUUCAAGGAGAUGAACAACGUUUUCACUCUGAAAUUGUUGUGAAGAUUCAUGUCUGCACAACCUUCGCUCUUGACUAAAUGGAUUCAAACGUAUUGGAUUAAGGGAGACACGGUAUGGUCUAUUAGGAUCACAAAAUCUGCAGGAUCCUGGAUGUGGAGAAAGCCUUGAAUUAUAAUAGAUGCCUUGCAAAACAAAAAUAGUUUCAUAAGAUAAAAGUAGAAAAUGGUAAUUGGACCUCUUUUUGGUUUGACUCUUGGUCAUCAACAACUUUGCCCUGUAGGAAGUAUAGACUGUCGUACUGUUUUGCCUUAUUUGCAAGACGGGAGACCGUGGAUACAACCACCAGAACAUUGUAAAUAUUAGCCAUCUUGCCUGGGUCCUUAGAAUGUUUUUAUGAUAUCACAGAAGCUCGUGGCUGCAUUGAUCUAGGGGUCAGUUUGACUGCAACGGUUUUUUCAGCUUUGCUUUCGAGAGUAAGAAAGCGAAACCAUUGUAUGGACAUUCCAAACAUUAUUGAAUCAGCCAUGGAAGAAUAGAGAACCAAGCUUUGAAAUGGUGAAGAUUUUACUUUUUGAAAAAGUUCUAUUGAUGUGUGUAUAAACCAAUUUUUUUCAGUACCAGAAACACAUGGAAUCUAAUCCACCAGCAAGAAAAAACUGUCGAGUGGAGUAAAGAACUUUGGUUCAAGCAAGACACCCCAAAGUAUGCUUACUUCACUUAACUAGCAAUACACAACCGUUUAUCAACCAGAGACUGCAUGCUCCUUUGGUCUUCUAGAACAAACUAAGCAUGUGUCUUCUAAAAUCUACUAGAAACCCGAGAUCAUUUGUUCUUCUCUUGUCUCCUUUCUGCUGAUUUAUGGUCUCAGCUGCUUAAAGACUUUGUUCGUGGGAGCUUCACAAUAUUCUAGGCAGAGAUAAUGGAGUUUAUCAACAACAACAGUCUGGACUUUCUCACCACAUUCCUCACCUGAUACGUUCUCUAGCUUUCGAUACACUCUUUUUGGAAUGAGAGAAACGACAAAAGGCAUGGAGCAAAGAAGGCAUGGAGAAACUCCUACCACUGUGUAUAUAAUGGUAAGACUGGUUGAUAGAGAAAUUCGAAACAAAUGUCUUUCGUUUAAACAACUGGGAGAUUUCAAAAUUGUGGUGUUCUCAAUGUUACUUUCUACUAGAUAACACAAAGUCUUACAAGUUGCAGUUUUCUUCGAACAUGUAGUACAAGUUGCGAAACAUUAUUUUUUUUUAAAAUAAAUUUAACAAAAAUCA